GCCAGCAAAGUGACAAUUAAGCUAUUGUUAGUAAAUGUAUUACAAGAUUGUGAAGCGGAAAUAUAAAUGCCUUAAAUGAAGUCUCCAUAAAGUUUUGUCACAGAAGGACUAGUGUAAGGCCCAUUUAUUCUCCUCCCUUAUACUCAUUUUCAGAAACCUAGAACUGUUGUCGUCUCCCUCCGCUGUCAUAAAGAGCUCUGUUAGAGUUUACACUUUCCCGAUCGAACAAAGCUCAACCCCGUUCUCAUAUUCUACCACCUUGAAUCGCUCUUUGAGUUGACGUUCUCCGCUGUUUAGGGUCGAGGUCUCGUGCUAGCCAUUUCUAGAGGCGAGGAACACCCAUGGACGACAGGGAGGUGAUAGCUCCGCCGCAUAGGCUGGACCUUAUUUCUUGAUGGGCUUUUCCUUAGGGCUACGACCCAUGUAUUGCUUCACGUUUUAUUUUACUGUACUCAUUUGUUAGACUUUUAUCUAGUUUUCUUUGGGGCAUUGUGGUGUGCCUUGGAUUGUAAGGAGUUGAGUUUUGAACUCCAUAACUACACUAUUAUGUUAUCCUUUUGUAAUGCUUCCUUUGAUUUUGUAUGUUAAAUUAAAUGGGGUGUUACAAGUAGGGUUUAUAAAAA
This is a long non-coding RNA of Vigna unguiculata (cowpea), 623 nucleotides long. The record is from RefSeq and is a predicted model, not a curated record. NCBI's taxonomy places the organism in Eukaryota, Viridiplantae, Streptophyta, Magnoliopsida, Fabales, Fabaceae.